This is a long non-coding RNA of Carassius gibelio (silver crucian carp), 2245 nucleotides long. RefSeq lists it as uncharacterized. The transcript is spliced from 8 exons. NCBI's taxonomy places the organism in Eukaryota, Metazoa, Chordata, Actinopteri, Cypriniformes, Cyprinidae. The record is from RefSeq and is a predicted model, not a curated record.
ACAGCACAUGUACGUCUGGCCGACGUCGGCCCAAUAUCUAAACGUCGGCCUCUAUACCUAAAACAUCUAUAAAACAUCGGCCUGGCGGAGGCCGAUAUAAUUUGGUCAGUGCUCUGUUCUCCAGCUCAUCAAUCGUCGGCCCUGAGUUGGUUCACGACCGCGGGCCGAUGCCGCGCUUCUCUGUGUGCGCGUGCCCAGUAUUCGUCUCUUUUAGCCACCCAGAGAGAGCGAAGAGGAUAAUCCCAGCGACAUCUGUGGCUCUCAGGCUUUCAGAAAUAAUCCGGUGAAAUAAUAUGAUGUUUGUGUAAAUGCUGUGUGCGCGUUGAGUCCUGUGCGAGCUGGGAGCAGAGUUGCCAUGGAAACGGGGCAUCAACACAAAAACCGUUACUGGCAAGCAGUAAUCUCCGUCUCUCGCUGCAGUUUACACUGUUUUGGAAACGGUUUAGUUUCUUCGAAAAAGUCCGUUAGCAUCUUAGCAGUUUUCAGGUAGGCUAACUAUAUAGAUUGAGCUCUUGUUGAUGAAACUCUGGGCUUUUAAUCAAAUCUUCGUGUGUGUAUGAGAUAUUUUGAUGGCACUUUGAAUGUUUUGCUGGUGAUUUGUCAGUAUGUUAUUGGAAAAGGCUGAUUUACUGAAUCGAUGACGUCACUUACAGUGAGAGUGUAAUCGGCUGAAAUCAAGUUCACAUUAGUUUCGAUAUUUCAUGAUAAACAGAUAUUAAUACAAAUUGUUCUGUGAUUUCAGGAGGACAGAAAGAAACUACAGAACAGAAGUGAAGCUCCAAGAUUUCAACAUUUCUGAAGGGAGAUUCUGACUUAGAAAUACAGGUGACCUGAAGAAGCUCAUGAAAAACAUGAAUAUGCCUUUUUCAGAAUACAUUUCACCAAUUUUAAGAAGUCCCUGACAUCAUAACAGUAAAUAUUGUUGACUCUGUGUCAGAUUGCUUGUUUUGUUCCUGGAUUCUUCAGUGAUGAUGAGCAGAGUCUGAGUGAACCUGCUGUCAGACAGGUUGGCCUGAUUGACGAUGCCAUCGUCCAUCGCCGAUGGCUGAUAGACAUCACGAUGCUGCGCUGGCAAACAGCGUCAUCAGCUGCAGUAUCUCGCCCGUGCAUCUGUUGUCAUGCGACAGAGAAGUCACGUUCUAUAGACAGUUUCUAUAGACAGUUGUGAACGUGCUGACAGCUGGUUGCCCAGGCUAUGGAUUAAAGGUAAUACUGUUGGCCAGCAGAGCCCUGCUCACCCUGACGGCCCACCGCUGCUGUCAGAUAACAUCUCCAAGAUGCUAUAAACUGCAGGACCAGAUGGCCAUCGCAAGGUUCCUAGAGAUUACAGCAGCUCCAGACUGAAUCCAAACUCACUUUUGAAGACUUCAGAUGAGACCAACGCUCACAAAGAUUACAGACGACAACUGUACAUGAACACACAAAACAUUGGACACACAAAACAAAUAUUAUCCUUAUUUUGCCUAUAAGGGUAAAUUUGAUGAUUUUCAAACUGCUUUAUUGUAACGUCUCAUAUCUGUAUAUCUAUCUGUAAAUGAACAAUAUUUACUCUCUGAGUUAUGUGGACCUACAUGUCCCCUUUUAUUUGUAAGCAUCACUUUAAAAAUGUUGAAAGAUAAUGUUAAUGUUAACUGAAUACAAAACUAGAGACUUGUUUAGUAAGAUUUUAUCAGAAAAUAUUUUUGAACUUUUAUCAUGCAAUUUAAAACAUUUUAAUUGCUUAAUUAGUAUUGUUUGCCUGGUUUUAUUUUGUGUUUAUGUAACUCUUUUUAAAAAGUUCUUGGCAUAAAGUUCGCAUGCGAUGCUGACAGCACUGAACACAUGACUUUUUAUUAUGAACUAGAUGGUCUUCCCAGUGAGUCUCAGUCAUCUCUGGCUUUUUAAACUGUAACCUUGAAACAUGCAUUUCCUGUAAACCUACUUUGAAAUAAGUAUUAUUAAAAGGUGCUAUACUCAUACAACAUUUAACCAUGCAAGUACUGUAGUAAUGGUUAUUUUUGUUUUUACUAUGGGUUUACUGCAAAAGCUGUAGUAAAAUCAUGGUGAUUGUAGUGAAACUAUGGUUGAUUUAGUUUUUUCUAUGGUUUUCCUGCAAAAGCUGUAGUAAAAUCAUGGUUAAUGUUCAAAAGACUACAAAUAAUCCCGAAUUAUCCACUUUUGAUCAAAGCAUCUGGUAAAUGUUAUUGUAUUUGUACAUGUAAUAUGAAAUAAAUGAAAAUAUUAAUAAAGUUGCGUCUGUUCUUGA